Molecule: long non-coding RNA, 965 nt
Organism: Tetranychus urticae (two-spotted spider mite)
Lineage: Eukaryota; Metazoa; Arthropoda; Arachnida; Trombidiformes; Tetranychidae
Source: RefSeq, a predicted model, not a curated record
GCAUUUGGAAAAAGCGUUACAAUAGCAUUUACAUAUCGAAAUUUAUAAGCAUUUUGAUAUAAUUUCUUAUUUAUUUUGAUCCAGUUUAAUUGAAUUUGGUUUUGUUCUUAAAUGUAAAUGUAAUUAGUUUGAAGAAUAAGCUUUGUUUAUUUAGGAACUCUUGGAUCAACAGUUGGAGAUUCCCAUUUUGCCUCUGUUAUAUGGUUUACUUUCGGUGAUUUACAAAUGUUCAACUAUUAAAAGCGGAUAAAUUACGAAGAUGGAUCUCAAAUGAUUAAUAUACAAGAAAUUGAGUGGGAAACGAUUUUACAAAGUAUAUCAAUGGAGUGACAAGAGUGCAAGUCGACUCAUUUGGAGGCAGCCUUGCUUGUGAUUUUUGGACAACGCACAUUGAGAUGUUUUGAUUAUGUUUGUACAGAGUAAAGCGAAGGAAGACACAAUUUGAUUAAAGGAGCGAGAUGGAAGGUGGUAAUAGAGGAGGUAAAAAGGAGGAAGAGAAGGAGGAAGGUGAAAGGUCAUAUGGUAAUGCAUGUCAAUGUAUAAGCUGAUCUUGCCUAAGUGAAAUUAAUUCUUGGACUCUCUUACAACACUGUUGAAGCUUCAAACCUCUGUUGACAUUCACUUUAACGGUCACCGUCGUCAAAGGUCAUGAAGAUGAUCAUUACUACUGGUAACAUCGACAUUAUAUCAUCUUAUAUCCGGUGCCACCUGUCAACGCAAUUUAUACCAAUGGAAUGAGAGGAAAUGCUGAAAGUCUAAUGUAAAGUUGAAUAAUAAUGCAAUGACCAUUGAUUUUAAGCUUUUUUUGUCCUCCAAGUAAAAGGUUUUUUUUGCUUUAAAUACAAUUGAACUGUCAACGCAUUAUUACUAUUUAUAAUACUGACAAAAUGUAUUGACCUUUUACCUAACAUUGUGACCACCAAUGGUCACUUGGAUCCAUUAAAGUCCAUUUAAAGGAGUUGAAA